GAUGAACGCUGACAGAAUGCUUAACACAUGCAAGUCUACUUGAAUUUGGGUUAUUUAACUUAGAUUUGGGUGGCGGACGGGUGAGUAACGCGUAAAGAACUUGCCUCACAGCUAGGGACAACAUUUGGAAACGAAUGCUAAUACCUGAUAUUAUGAUUAUAAGGCAUCUUAGAAUUAUGAAAGCUAUAUGCGCUGUGAGAGAGCUUUGCGUCCCAUUAGCUAGUUGGAGAGGUAACGGCUCACCAAGGCGAUGAUGGGUAGCCGGCCUGAGAGGGUGAACGGCCACAAGGGGACUGAGACACGGCCCUUACUCCUACGGGAGGCAGCAGUGGGGAAUAUUGGACAAUGGACCAAGAGUCUGAUCCAGCAAUUCUGUGUGCACGAUGACGUUUUUCGGAAUGUAAAGUGCUUUCAGUUGGGAAGAAAAAAAUGACGGUACCAACAGAAGAAGUGACGGCUAAAUACGUG
This 468-nucleotide ribosomal RNA is filed under the name uncultured bacterium. RNAcentral's name for it is "partial 16S ribosomal RNA". It matches the Rfam family "Bacterial small subunit ribosomal RNA", at positions 28 to 507 of the family's 1533-position model. The record is from RNAcentral.